GCCGUGGUCUGGUGGCCGG
Molecule: unclassified non-coding RNA, 19 nt
Filed under: synthetic construct
Description: RNA (5'-R(*GP*CP*CP*GP*UP*GP*GP*UP*CP*UP*GP*GP*UP*GP*GP*CP*CP*GP*G)-3') from synthetic construct (PDB 2MKN, chain B)
Source: RNAcentral